RNAcentral lists this transfer RNA (73 nucleotides) under Cordylochernes scorpioides. RNAcentral describes it as "tRNA-Phe". It matches the Rfam family "tRNA". Rfam says of the family: Transfer RNA (tRNA) molecules are approximately 80 nucleotides in length. Their secondary structure includes four short double-helical elements and three loops (D, anti-codon, and T loops). Further hydrogen bonds mediate the characteristic L-shaped molecular structure. tRNAs have two regions of fundamental functional importance: the anti-codon, which is responsible for specific mRNA codon recognition, and the 3' end, to which the tRNAs corresponding amino acid is attached (by aminoacyl-tRNA synthetases). tRNAs cope with the degeneracy of the genetic code in two manners: having more than one tRNA (with a specific anti-codon) for a particular amino acid; and 'wobble' base-pairing, i.e. permitting non-standard base-pairing at the 3rd anti-codon position. The record is from RNAcentral. Lineage: Eukaryota; Metazoa; Arthropoda; Arachnida; Pseudoscorpiones; Chernetidae.
GCCGAAAUAGCUGAGUUAGGAGAGCGUUAGACUGAAGAUCUAAAGGUCCCUGGUUCGAUCCCGGGUUUCGGCA